Long non-coding RNA from Triticum aestivum (bread wheat), 1575 nucleotides. RefSeq lists it as uncharacterized. The transcript has 2 exons. Lineage: Eukaryota; Viridiplantae; Streptophyta; Magnoliopsida; Poales; Poaceae. The record is from RefSeq and is a predicted model, not a curated record.
GCAGGGCUGAUGGAGCUCUUGGAAAGAAGUCAGUAUCCAGCUUAUCCCUAGUCUAGCACUCUGCUGUGAAGUCAGAAACCCAUUAACAAGCAAGGCUGUAGUGAACCUCUUCCUUAAGGGAUUGUGGAAUGCACACAUCCCGGAAUACAGUUGGGUGAUCCAUUAAGCUAAGCAAGAGCUAUGAACAACCUAGUGACGCGGUGGCAAGCAUCGAUACGAGGAAGGUGAUAGAUCAGAUACGAUUUCCUUCAUAGGAUACUCUUUUUCCUUCGGAUUGUGGAAUGAUAGGAAGGGCCUAAUAGUAGUGAUUUAGUGCGAUGUGAGGUGCCCCGCGCGUGAGACUUUCUGAGGUUAAGAAAAUAAUAACAGGGCGGCUUUCUUAGACUCGGCUCUACAGCACUCUUUGAGUAAGUUCGCUAACGAGGUAGCAGUUCUACACGAAUGAAAACAGACCUAUCUUCUCUUUCUUGGGCGGGGCACCAAAUUCAUGUAUCUUUACCAAUUAACCAAUUUCUUGACGUUGGGGUGGAUCCUAAAGAGAUACCACUUCCUCAUGAAUUUAUCUUGAAUCGGGACCUUUUGGCUCAACUUUAUCCUAGUUUUGCCGAAGGAGCAACCCCUUUUUUCACUUUAAAUUGGUCCAAAUACGCAGAAUUUCUGACUUUUCGCGGAGGACUAGAUCCAGUAACCGGUGGUCUCUGGCUGACCGAUAUUGCGCACCAUCAUUUAGCUAUUGCUAUUCUUUUCCUAAUCGCAGGUCAUAUGUAUAGGACCAAUUGGGGUAUUGGCCAUGGACUUAAAGAUAUUUUGGAGGCUCACAAGGGCCCAUUUACAGGACAAGGCCAUAAGGGUCUUUAUGAAAUCUUAACAACGUCAUGGCAUGCUCAAUUAUCUCUUAACCUAGCUAUGCUAGGCUCUACAGCCAUUGUUGUAGCUCAUCAUAUGUAUUCUAUGCCUCCCUAUCCAUACCUAGCUACUGACUAUGGUACACAACUUUCCUUGUUCACACACCACAUGUGGAUUGGCGGAUUUCUAAUAGUCGGUGCUGCUGCACAUGCAGCAAUUUUUAUGGUAAGAGACUAUGAUCCAACUACUCGAUACAACGAUCUAUUAGAUCGCGUCCUUAGACACCGCGAUGCAAUCAUAUCCCACCUUAACUGGGUAUGUAUAUUUCUAGGUUUUCACAGUUUUGGCUUGUACAUUCAUAAUGAUACCAUGAGUGCUUUAGGCCGUCCACAAGAUAUGUUUUCGGAUACUGCCAUACAAUUACAACCUAUCUUUACUCAAUGGGUACAAAAUAUCCAUGCUACUGCGCCUGGCGUAACAGCUCCUGGUGCAACAACAAGUACUAGCUUAACGUGGGGAGGCGGCGAGUUAGUAGCAGUAGGUGGCAAAGUGGCUUUGUUACCUAUUCCAUUAGGAACCGCAGAUUUUUGAGUCCAUCACAUUCAUGCAUUUACCAUACAUGUGACUGUAUUAAUACUUUUGAAAGGUGUUUUAUUUGCUCGGAGUUCCCGUUUGAUACCCGAUAAAGCAAAUCUAGGUUUUCGCUUUCCUUGCGAUGGGCCUGGCCGA